CCUACGGGUGGCAGCAGUCGAGAAUCAUUCACAAUGGGGGAAACCCUGAUGGUGCGACGCCGCGUGGGGGAAUGAAGGUCUUCGGAUUGUAAACCCCUGUCAUGUGGGAGCAAAUUAAAAAGAUAGUACCACAAGAGGAAGAGACUGCUAACUCUGUGCCAGCAGCCGCGGUAUUACAGAGGUCCCAAGCGUUGAUCGGAAUCACUGGGCGUAAGGCGUGCGUAGGCUGUUUCGUAAGUCGUGUGUGAAAGGCGCGGGCUCAACCCGCGGACGGCACAUGAUACUGCGAGACUAGAGUAAUGGAGGGGGAAGCGGAAUGCUCGGUGAAGCAGUGAAAUGCGUAGAUAUCGAGAGGAACACUCGUGGCGAAGGCGGGUUACUGGACAUUAACUGACGCUGAGGCACGAAGGCCAGGGGAGCGAAAGGGAUUAGAUACCCCAGUAGUC
Molecule: ribosomal RNA, 446 nt
Filed under: uncultured bacterium
Lineage: Bacteria
Description: partial 16S ribosomal RNA
Rfam family: Bacterial small subunit ribosomal RNA
Source: RNAcentral